This 67-nucleotide transfer RNA is filed under the name Ptyctolaemus collicristatus. RNAcentral's name for it is "tRNA-Ile". The record is from RNAcentral. Lineage: Eukaryota; Metazoa; Chordata; Lepidosauria; Squamata; Agamidae.
AGAAAUGAGAGUGUGGUCUCUAUGUUUAUUUUAUCAAAAUACUCCCUAUACUUUCGGGCACAUUUCU